AGAUUGAACGCUGGCGGCAUGCUUUACGCAUGCAAGUCGAACGGCAGCGCGGGGCAACCUGGCGGCGAGUGGCGAACGGGUGAGUAAUAUAUCGGAACGUACCCAAGAGUGGGGGAUAACGUAGCGAAAGUUACGCUAAUACCGCAUACGAUCUAAGGAUGAAAGCGAGGGGACCGCAAGGCCUUGUGCUCCUGGAGCGGCCGAUAUCUGAUUAGCUAGGUUGGUAGGGUAAGCCUACCGAAGGCUACGAUCAGUAGCUGGUCUGAGAGGACGACCAGCCACACUGGAACUGAGACACGGUCCAGACUCCGUACGGGAGGCACGGCAGGUAGGGGUAAUUUUGGGACAAGUGGGUUGACGAAG
Molecule: ribosomal RNA, 363 nt
Filed under: uncultured soil bacterium
Lineage: Bacteria
Description: bacterial SSU rRNA
Rfam family: Bacterial small subunit ribosomal RNA
Source: RNAcentral